UACGGAGGGUGCGAGCGUUGUCCGGAAUCACUGGGCGUAAAGGGCGCGUAGGUGGCCCGUUAAGUGGCUGGUGAAAUCCCGCGGCUCAACUGCGGGGCUGCCGGUCAUACUGGCGAGCUAGAGCACGGUAGGGGCAGAUGGAAUUCCCGGUGUAGCGGUGGAAUGCGUAGAGAUCGGGAAGAAUACCAGUGGCGAAGGCGUUCUGCUGGGCCGUUGCUGACACUGAGGCGCGACAGCGUGGGGAGCGAACAGG
This 253-nucleotide ribosomal RNA is filed under the name uncultured bacterium. Its description in RNAcentral is "partial 16S ribosomal RNA". It matches the Rfam family "Bacterial small subunit ribosomal RNA", at positions 524 to 776 of the family's 1533-position model. The record is from RNAcentral.